UUCCCACAGGACCGAUCAGUCAGAGAACGAUACACUCGUGUUUUGUCCUCAUCCUAAUAUGGGUAAUUAGAUAGAAACCAGAGUGAUGCACACACCCACACAAGCAUCUAGUUCCCGGACGAAGAAGAGCCAGCGAAAGUUGCUCCUCACAAGUGGCCAUAUUUGCAGGCAUCAUAAAUACCCAUUUCAGUGAUCUUAUCGUUAAUCGCACGCCUCUUCUAUUAUAGAAUGCUUUCGUAAUGCACCGUUUCCAGAGGAUUCAGAAAACAAAUGCAACAAAACCUGUCCCAUGUCGUGUUGGUGUUGGAACCGGCCGUGAUUCGAGAGUCCGCAUCGGGUUGAGUGGAUUGAAAAUGUCCGAAAUUAGGAAUUCUAAGUGUGACGUGACCCACCCGAUACCGUCAAAUAUCCGCAAUUUCCACGACAGAAAGAGCAAAGAUUGAUGCAAAGCUCCGGCCAAAGUUAUUCUUCCGUGGUAGUUUGACAUAAUUAUAGACGUGCUUCGGGAACAAGCGAUACGCGAUUAGCGUAGAAAUUUAGCACACUAGUCGAAGAAUAGCUACUAGACCAAUGUCUGUCCUGACUAGCACCAGGUCUUGAAUGCGGCACGCGUUUUCACAUCGAGGAUAAGGCGCGUCGAGCAGGCAGGACAAGAGCAUGUAGCAGCAGCAACACAUAAAAUCUGAUAUGUGACCUACCCGUCCAUUUCCCCGCACAUUCUUACAGCAGAGAAAACGGACGCUCUCUCGCACUCCAAUUCGAUAGCUUCCUCGAGCUACCGGACUGCUUCCGAUGAUUGGAAUUUUUAUCAUCUUCACAACUUACUCACAGACACAGUCCCGGCGGUUUGCUCCUUGGAGAGUUUGCAUAGGCCGUUUGUCUUUGGAUUUCUUACCGUUUCCACUUGUACCCGCCGCAAGAAAGUCGAAGAGAAUGGCAAAUUUUCCGCUUGAAAAAUGAUUCGAAUAAAAGGAAAAAGAGCAUGCCCUGCAUCGGAAGGCCAACAACAGCCGUGUGGUGGUAGUAUGGGCACGUUAAACCGGAAACAAGGCACGUAGCGUCGGCCCGUUGGCGACAGUUUUUCCCCUGCGUGAUUCUUCGACGUGCCGAACACAGCAACAGGAGAGUGGAGAGAGCGGGCGGGCGGAAGGAGACAUGGGAUUUUCGAACGGGGAACUUUCCCUCCUUUUCGCUGUUCCGGGGAUGGAGAUUUUGCAUCAAUUUUCUUUUACACUCGGACGGAGCCGACCGUCGACGUCCUGUCGAGUUUGGGGCCGAUGAUUGGACCACCCCAUGCCCAGAUGCCGGUGGUGCAUCAGGGUGCUGAAGAGAUAAAUUGAUUGUUGUAAAGUUCGGACCGGGACUGCUACCAUUCUGCCGAGGGCCAACGGAAGACGUUUCUUGCCUGGUAUUGGAGGCGAGUUCGAUUCGAGCAGACUUACUGUCGUCGGGCGGUUUUUUUUGUCCUCUUCUCUGAUUAUGUUAGAAGAAUGAACAAAUAGCAGCAGCAUCGGAUGGGUCGCACUCGAAUAAGACAAAGCCUCCCGAGGUUGUUGCUACUGUUGCCAUCGGAUCGGCCACCAGUUCGAACGAAUUUUUAAUAUCCCAAAAACCUACUGAACUCU
Long non-coding RNA from Anopheles stephensi (Asian malaria mosquito), 1625 nucleotides. RefSeq lists it as uncharacterized. The record is from RefSeq and is a predicted model, not a curated record. NCBI's taxonomy places the organism in Eukaryota, Metazoa, Arthropoda, Insecta, Diptera, Culicidae. The transcript has 3 exons.